This 467-nucleotide ribosomal RNA is filed under the name uncultured bacterium. Its description in RNAcentral is "partial 16S ribosomal RNA". It matches the Rfam family "Bacterial small subunit ribosomal RNA", at positions 330 to 793 of the family's 1533-position model. The record is from RNAcentral.
GCCAGACUCCUACGGGAGGCAGCAGUGAGGAAUAUUGGUCAAUGGGCGGAAGCCUGAACCAGCCAAGUCGCGUGAGGGAAGAAGGCCCUGCGGGUCGCAGACCUCUUUGGACGGGGAGCAAGGCCGCCGACGUGUCGGCGGAAGGAGGGUACCCGUAGAACAAGCAUCGGCUAACUCCGUGCCAGCAGCCGCGGUAAUACGGAGGAUGCGAGCGUUAUCCGGAUUUACUGGGUGUAAAGGGAGCGCAGGCGGCCUUGCAAGUCUGAUGUGAAAGGCCGGGGCCCAACCCCGGGACUGCAUUGGAAACUGCGAGGCUGGAGUGUCGGAGAGGCAGGCGGAAUUCCUAGUGUAGCGGUGAAAUGCGUAGAUAUUAGGAGGAACACCAGUGGCGAAGGCGGCCUGCUGGACGAUGACUGACGCUGAGGCUCGAAAGCGUGGGGAGCAAACAGGAUUAGAUACCCGAGUAU